RNAcentral lists this ribosomal RNA (440 nucleotides) under uncultured bacterium. RNAcentral describes it as "partial 16S ribosomal RNA". It matches the Rfam family "Bacterial small subunit ribosomal RNA", at positions 338 to 795 of the family's 1533-position model. The record is from RNAcentral.
CCUACGGGAGGCAGCAGUAGGGAAUCUUGCGCAAUGGGCGAAAGCCUGACGCAGCAACGCCGCGUGAACGAGACGCCCUUCGGGGUGUAAAGUUCUGUCAGUGGGGACGAAAAAUGACGGUACCCACAGAGGAAGCACCGGCUAACUCCGUGCCAGCAGCCGCGGUAAUACGGAGGGUGCAAGCGUUGUCCGGACGCAUUGGGCGUAAAGAGUUCGUAGGCGGCAUGUAAAGUCAGGUGUUAAAGGCGCAGGCUCAACCUGUGUAUGGCACUUGAUACUUGCAAGCUGGAAUGCGGUAGAGGUAAAGGGAAUUCCUGGUGUAGCGGUGAAAUGCUUAGAUAUCACGCAGAACCCCGAUUGCGAAGGCAGCCUGCCAAGCCAUGACUGACGCUGAUGCACGAAAGCGUGGGGAUCAAACAGGAUUAGAUACCCUAGUAGUC